AUUGAACGCUGGCGGCAUGCUUUACACAUGCAAGUCGAACGGCAGCGCGGGCUGCGGCCUGGCGGCGCGUGGCGAACGGGUGGGUAAUACAUCGGAAGGUGCCCUAUAGAGGGGGAUAGCUCGGCGAAAGCAGGCUUAAUCCAGCAUACGACAUGAGGUUGAAAGCGGGGGAUCUUUGGAGAUAGCGCGUUUGGAGCGGCCGAUGGCAGAUUAGCUAGUUGGUGAGGUAAAGGCCUACCAAGGCGACGAUCUGUAGCUGGUCUGAGAGGACGACCCGCCACACUGGGACUGAGACACGGCCCAGACUCCUACGGGAGGCAGCAGUGGGGAAUCUUGCACAAUGGGCGAAAGCCUGAUCCAGCAAUGCCGCGUGUGUGAUGAAGGCCUUCGGGUUGUAAAGCACUUUUGGCGGGAACGAAAAGGACUGUGCCAAUACCACGGUUCGAUGACGGUACCCGCAGAAUAAGCACCGGCUAACUACGUG
Molecule: ribosomal RNA, 484 nt
Filed under: uncultured bacterium
Lineage: Bacteria
Description: partial 16S ribosomal RNA
Rfam family: Bacterial small subunit ribosomal RNA
Source: RNAcentral